UGGGUGAGUCGAUGCAGCGGUAAUUUGCUAUGAUCACUGUCGCCGUCGUCUUCGUGGUUUAGCGCGCGUGCGUGCAACGCUUGGAAGUGUUUUGUUGCUGUGUGCGAGAGUGUUUUCCACAAUUAGAAAUAACGGUGCGAAGGUGAAACUGGAAAGUCAGCGAAGCGCGUUCAUUUCAAGUGCAUCUUCAGAUUGAUAUUUUGCAAUUAGCUUAAUUUUUUGAUAUACGAAGAGUUUUCUUACCUGUUCAGCCAAACAACAACAACAACCAAUAACAGCAACAGCAAAGUUUUCAAUAUUGAAAAUAUUCAUGUGGCCAGGCAAAGUUCAUAGCCGGUUUAGUCAUACGCGAAAUUCUGAGAAUUCUACAAGUGGAUUUGAUCUAACAGUUAAGUGUGCGCGAACGUGUGUGUGCAUGUCUGCCUGUGGCUGUGUGUGUAUGUUUGUAUUUAUGUAUAACAGCUGUUGCACUGCACCUAAAGUCUAAAUUGCGUACUUAUUAGGUAUUUGCUCUGCUCUGCAUAGCAGCAGCAGAUAAGAUAGAAACCAAAGACGUUUUGCACAGUGUAAAACUCUUAUAUUUGCGCCCGCGUGUGUGUGUGAGUGUCUACAUGUGUGUGUUUAUCUUAUCGGUAGACCAUUGAUUGAAGUAGCUUUUUGCUUUUGGCUAAAGCAAUGCCGGGUGAAGUCAUUUGCGCAGCGACUAAGCGAAAGAGUCUAUGGACAGCUAGAUAGGAUAUCUAAGCACCUAUAAAACACCCAAAAGCAGCCAAAAGAAAAAAAGAGAAGAAUAGAAAGAGAGAAUAAAACCAGCCACGCAAUCUUUGGCUAAAUUUGGACACAGACCAAAUACCAAACAAGGCAUUGCGAACAUAAAUCAACUGCAACAGGAGCAGCAGCACCAGCAGCAGCAGUAGCCAAGAUGGAAUCCGAUUCGGACACCUGGGAGGACUUUUUUGGCAGCAGCACAGAGCUAGCCCAUUCGCUGUUGGGCUUUUAUGACACGCUGACAAACACCUUGAGCGCUGGUCCAACGGCAACAAAGGCUGACAGCAGUGAGAGCAGCCAGAGCAGCGGUGAGUCAACGCCAAAGCGCAGCAAUAGCAAUUGCAGCACCACCAGCAGCACCACCAGCAACAACAGCAACAACAGCAGCGACAACCAUUCGGGCAGCUAUAGUUUGGAUGGUGGAGCACAAACGCCGCUGGUGGUUGCCGGCCUGCGUGACGAUGUAGCGGAUGGCGUGCAGCUGAGUCGAUUGGUGGUGCAACGGCGUCAGGAGCUGGGCAGCAAUCACAGCAUCUCAUCCACAGCAUCCAGCAAUCAUUCGCGGCGCGGCAACAAUAUUCGCGUGCUCUCGCCCAAUGUUCAGCGGAUUAUUACACACGCAGAUGCGGAGCCCGUGAACGCCAUCGACAUCGAAGCCAUCCAGCAGCAGCAGCAGCAGCAGCAGACCCACUCACUGCCCGGUCAGCGCAGCCCCACGCCCUUGCGUUAUGCAAAGGCCGCAACCACAGCACCACCCAAACUGAAGCUAUCGCAUCUGCCGCUCUCCAAGACAACGGGCAAGCUAUCCACACAAUCGGGCAGCGACCUGGUGUCCACCUUGGAUGCGGGCAGCGACUACGUCGGUGGUGCGCACAGAAAGGCCAGCUCAUCCGCGGAUGAGGACAAGACACCCACCAACAAGGCAGCGCCCGGCACACCCUUUCACUUCGGGGGCAAUCCGUUCUCCAAGCUAAAGCUGCAGAGCAUCAAAUUAAGCGAAAUGGAGCAGCUGGCGGUGACGAGCAGGCAGCUAGCUACAGCACCACCACCAACACCACCAGCAGCACAAGCACCAGCACCAGCUCCAAGUGCAGCCAGUACGCCGGUGGCACCGCCCAGACACAAGGCCUUUGUGGUGGCCAGUGAGCCGCUCAGCCCAGAGCCGUUUGUGGACGCGAUCAACUUUGACCUGGUUGCCCAGCACAUCGAGAAGCUGACAUUGAGCGACCUGGAUCUGGGCGAGGGGGAAGAGGCGGCCGAGCAGCUGGUGGAGGCCAUCAACAAGCCGCUGAUUGGCAAGCCACUGGUGCGCAGCGUCUCGGCACCGCGCGCCAGCCAGUGUGGCUCCGCCGGGCCGGGCUCCCCGCUGCAGACGUAUGCGCGCACCAAGCUGAAGAGCCAGAGUGGCAAGGCGAGCACCUUGGGUGGCGGCAUGCCACUGCGGCUGCCCACGGCCGAGCAGCUGGCUGAGCUGGAGGAGGCCAACAAGCUGUCGGCCGAGAGUCUGGACACGUUGACGGACAUCAAGCCGAAGUAUCCGCCGCGCUUGAGCGAGCUGACGCGCCUCAACAAUCGUCCGCUGUCCUCCUCCUCCAUUUGCUCCACGUCGUCCAGCUCCAGUUCGGGCUCGGACCAGCUGCUCAAUGGCAAGCUGGCUGCCACCUCCUAUUUGGCCAGUGUUGAGAGUUUGGCCGAGAGCGAGAACGAGCUGGGCGACCAUCAUCAUCAUCAUCAUCCCUCGCAUACGAAUCCCAUGACCGUGCUGGAACGCGCCUGCCUGGAAAUUGUGGACUCGGAGCGGAGCUUUGUCGAAGAUCUGGGUCAGGUUAUCAAAGGCUACCUUCUGGACUGGAAGGAGCGCGCCUGUCUGCGCACCGACGAAUUGCAAAUACUCUUUGCCAACAUUGAAGAGAUUUACGAAUUCAAUUCGUUGCUGCUGCAGCAGCUCAUCAACUCGGGCAUGGAUCCGGGACGAAUAGCGAAAUGUUUCAUUGACCUACGCGAUCGCUUUAAUGUGUACACAACCUAUUGCACAAGCUACCCGGAAGCCAUCUCGCUGUUGACAAAACUGCUGCAGGCGAAGCAUACGAAUACGUUGCUGGCCUCCACGCAGACGCUGCUGCAGCAUCGCCUGCCCCUUGGCUCCUAUUUGCUGAAACCGGUGCAACGCAUACUCAAGUACCAUCUGCUGCUGGACAGCCUGCGCAAGCACUGCGAUGUGAAGGAGGUAGCUGAGGCGUAUGCCAUAAUGCGACAGGUAGCGCAUCACAUCGACCAGGUGAAGCGUCAGCAGGAGCAGCAGAGUCGUGUCAAGGAGCUGUCCGGCAUACUCGACGGCUGGAUGGGACCAGAUCUGAGCGUGCUGCGAGAACUGAGGCACGAGGGCUUGCUCAUGGAGCAGCACAACAAGCCGCGUCAGGUGCUCCUCUUCGAGACGAUGCUGAUCAUUACCAAGCAGAAGGAGGACGGUCGUCUGCAGUUCAAGAGCCUCAUAACCCAAAAAAAUCUAAUGCUGAGCGAGCAUUUGCCCGGCGAGCCGACCAGCUUCUAUGUCAUACCCUUCGAUGACCCGCGCAAUCAAAUCAAGUUGACGGCCAGAAAUCGUGACCAGAAGCGCAUCUGGACGCAGCACAUCAAAGAUGUGAUGCUCCAGGAGCUGGAUAUACCCACUCGUGCCAAGGAGCUCGUCUACCAGCUGGGCAACGAGGAAGUACUACCAGUGACGCAAUUUAAAACUAAACCACCCAAACCAAACAAGAAAAGAAAACUUUAACUAGUUUCUAAGGCGUUCCCUAAGGCUAAACACCAGAGACUGAACUACUUUCUUCCAUAACCCCAGCCCCCAAAAAAAAAAAACAAAAUAAAACAAACAACUAAAAUUUAAUUAAAGUACAAUUUUUAGUAAAUUAACUUAACUGUUAACUGCCAAUUGUUAUCGUUAAACUCUGUAAUCGUAUCGUAAUCGUAAUCGUAAUUAGUUAAAUAAUUUGCUGGUAUUUGCGGCGCGCAGACGUAGUCUUAUUAAUCCGAUAUAUCCGAUCGCUGCCUAAUCGCACGCCCGAUCGCAGCACCUGGAAGUGGAGCCUGAACUCGAGCAGCAACUCGACGCCGACGUAUUUGGAGCGGCGCAACGCU
RNAcentral lists this unclassified non-coding RNA (3903 nucleotides) under Drosophila mojavensis. RNAcentral's name for it is "GI19581". The record is from RNAcentral. Lineage: Eukaryota; Metazoa; Arthropoda; Insecta; Diptera; Drosophilidae.